AUUGAACGCUGGCGGCAGGCCUAACACAUGCAAGUCGAACGGUAACAGGAAACAGCUUGCUGUUUCGCUGACGAGUGGCGGACGGGUGAGUAAUGUCUGGGAAACUGCCUGAUGGAGGGGGAUAACUACUGGAAACGGUAGCUAAUACCGCAUAACGUCGCAAGACCAAAGAGGGGGACCUUCGGGUCUCUUGCCAUCGGAUGUGCCCAGAUGGGAUUAGCUAGUAGGUGGGGUAACGGCUCACCUAGGCGACGAUCCCUAGCUGGUCUGAGAGGAUGACCAGCCACACUGGAACUGAGACACGGGCCAGACUCCUACGGGAGGCAGCAGUGGGGAAUAUUGCACAAUGGGCGCAAGCCUGAUGCAGCCAUGCCGCGUGUAUGAAGAAGGCCUUCGGGUUGUAAAGUACUUUCAGCGGGGAGGAAGGGAGUAAAGUUAAUACCUUUACUCAUUGACGUUACCCGCAGAAGAAGCACCGGCUAACUCCGUGCCAGCCGCCGCGGUAA
Molecule: ribosomal RNA, 506 nt
Filed under: uncultured bacterium
Lineage: Bacteria
Description: partial 16S ribosomal RNA
Rfam family: Bacterial small subunit ribosomal RNA
Source: RNAcentral